RNAcentral lists this ribosomal RNA (230 nucleotides) under uncultured bacterium. RNAcentral describes it as "partial 16S ribosomal RNA". It matches the Rfam family "Bacterial small subunit ribosomal RNA", at positions 524 to 753 of the family's 1533-position model. The record is from RNAcentral.
UACGGAGGGUGCGAGCGUUGUCCGGAAUCAUUGGGCGUAAAGGGCGCGUAGGUGGCCCGGUCAGUUCGUGGUGAAAGCGCGGGGCUCAACCCUGCGUCGGCCAUGAAUACUGCCGCGGCUGGAGCACUGUAGAGGCAGGCGGAAUUCCGGGUGUAGCGGUGGAAUGCGUAGAGAUCCGGAGGACCCCAGAGGCGAAGGCGGCGCUCUGGCUCGCGAACUGCGCUCAGACA